UGGCUACAUAGCUCAGCGGUAGAGCAACCGGCUGUUAACCGGUUGGUCGUAGGUUCGAUCCCUACUGUAGCCGCCAUGGCCUGUUGGUGAAGUGACUGAACACACACGCCUUUCACGCGUGCAUUCACGGGUUUGAAUCCCGUACAGGUCACCAU
RNAcentral lists this transfer RNA (155 nucleotides) under Ureaplasma parvum serovar 3 str. ATCC 27815. Its description in RNAcentral is "tRNA-Glu". The stretch from base 2 to 73 matches the Rfam family "tRNA". The record is from RNAcentral. Lineage: Bacteria; Bacillati; Mycoplasmatota; Mycoplasmoidales; Mycoplasmoidaceae. RNAcentral also lists the same sequence under 12 other names.